UACGUAGGGUGCAAGCGUUAUCCGGAAUUAUUGGGCGUAAAGAGCUCGUAGGCGGUUUGUCGCGUCUGGUGUGAAAGUCCAUCGCUUAACGGUGGAUCUGCGCCGGGUACGGGCAGGCUAGAGUGCGACAGGGGAGACUGGAAUUCCCGGUGUAACGGUGGAAUGUGUAGAUAUCGGGAAGAACACCAAUGGCGAAGGCAGGUCUCUGGGUCGUCACUGACGCUGAGGAGCGAAAGCGUGGGGAGCGAACAGG
Molecule: ribosomal RNA, 253 nt
Filed under: uncultured microorganism
Description: partial small subunit ribosomal RNA
Rfam family: Bacterial small subunit ribosomal RNA
Source: RNAcentral